GCUGCUGUAGCUCAGCGGCAGAGCACUCCCUUGGUAAGGGAGAGGUCGAGAGUUCAAUUCUCUCCAGCAGCACCA
Molecule: transfer RNA, 75 nt
Filed under: Paracoccaceae bacterium
Lineage: Bacteria; Pseudomonadati; Pseudomonadota; Alphaproteobacteria; Rhodobacterales; Paracoccaceae
Description: Rhodobacteraceae bacterium (sponge metagenome) tRNA-Thr
Rfam family: tRNA
About the family: Transfer RNA (tRNA) molecules are approximately 80 nucleotides in length. Their secondary structure includes four short double-helical elements and three loops (D, anti-codon, and T loops).
Source: RNAcentral